ACAGGAGCAGAUGUUUAAAGUGGCUGGAGUGCCUAUGGUGGAGAAUGUGGUGGCUGGUUACAAUAGCUGUAUGUUUGCCUAUGGACAGACUGGAAGUGGGAAAACUCACACUAUGCUUGGAGAUAUCGAGGGAGGAACACGUAGACACAGUGUCAACUGCGGGAUGACACCUAGAGUUUUUGAGUAUUUGUUCUCAAGGAUCCAAAAGG
Molecule: long non-coding RNA, 209 nt
Organism: Capsella rubella
Lineage: Eukaryota; Viridiplantae; Streptophyta; Magnoliopsida; Brassicales; Brassicaceae
Exons: 2
Source: RefSeq, a predicted model, not a curated record